AUACGGAGGGUGCAAGCGUUACUCGGAAUCACUGGGCGUAAAGGACGCGUAGGCGGAUUGGAAAGUCAGAUGUGAAAUCCUACAGCUUAACUGUAGAACUGCAUUUGAAACUGCUAACCUAGAGUAUGGGAGGGGGAGAUGGAAUUAGUGGUGUAGGGGUAAAAUCCGUAGAUAUCACUAGGAAUACCGAAAGCGAAGGCGAUCUCCUGGAACAUGACUGACGCUAAGGCGUGAAAGCGUGGGGAGCAAACAGGAUUAGAAAACCUAGUAGUCC
This 274-nucleotide ribosomal RNA is filed under the name uncultured bacterium. Its description in RNAcentral is "partial 16S ribosomal RNA". It matches the Rfam family "Bacterial small subunit ribosomal RNA", at positions 523 to 796 of the family's 1533-position model. The record is from RNAcentral.